Seriola aureovittata is the source of this 1907-nucleotide long non-coding RNA. RefSeq lists it as uncharacterized. Lineage: Eukaryota; Metazoa; Chordata; Actinopteri; Carangiformes; Carangidae. The transcript has 4 exons. The record is from RefSeq and is a predicted model, not a curated record.
CUAAUUAGUCUAAGUUGUGUAGUUUCUACUUCCGGUCAGACGACAGAUGUAUUUGAGCCUCCUCGGCUUCCUUCGACCAGCGAUUCGUGUAGAACUCGAUACACGCGACAUCCUGGUCUAAUAAUACACCCAUGCUUAAUGUGCACAGACUGAGGCCUGUGGAGCCACACGCACACACGCACGCACGCGCGCGCACACACACACAUACGUAGAGCCUGUAUUGGCCGCUGGAUCCUACGUCAACGUCUCCGCCAUUUUAUAAUCCAGGGUUUAUGAUUAUAUGGAGUAGAAAUAAAAGUUUUGUCUCCAGUUUCUUAGAUAGAUAGUUCAGGCUGUUAUCAGUUUUCCAUAAGGAGUGUGUGACGUCACGUGUACACAGUGGCGCCGCAGCUGUACUCAUGUAGGAGAGAGUGGGGUAAUUAGUGCCAAGGGGCAAGUAGUGCCACCCCUGUAUCUAGAAAACCAUAGAAGAAGUUGGUCACGUCACCACAUGCUUUUGAAGAGGCAUCUAUUUCACUCAUCCUGCAAACAGGGGAGACACGUGUGAGAGAAUCCAUCACGAAUACAAACAGAAGACUGAGAGGAGAGGGACUUUCUGAUUCCACUUAGCCAUGCCACUGAUUAUGAGAGUUCAGGUGUCCAGAGUGAUGAUGAUGAUGAUGAUGAUGACAAGGAUCUGUCUGCUGGUAACUUUGUCAUUGUGAGGUUUGCAGGUAAAAAAUUGGUGGAGAGUGUUGAAGGUGAUGAGAUCAGUGCAACGUUUCUGAAGCAAAGCUGUAAGAGGUCUGUUGAUGGAAAGCUCAUCUUCACAUUUAGAGAGAAUGAUGAAGGACUCAUCCAUAAAGGGGAUGUGCUCAAGAAACUACCCACACCACGAAAACCUGGUGGUACUGCUGGAAGAGAGCAUAAGUUCACAUUUCCAUGCAGCAGUAGCGGGCCGGUUCUGUGAAGAGAUCCAGAUCCAGAUCAUUUGCAUGAUCAGGUUUUCAUUUGGAUUUUUGAUUUUGUUCUGAGCGUGUUGCUCUGAGUCGAGGUUCAUGUCUUUAAGUUCAUGUCAGGCUUUGUUUGUUAAAUGAACGUUAAAUAAGUCAUUUUGCAUUGAAUUUGUCUUGAUUUUUAUAUACCAUUAUCUUUUGUGAGAUUAAAAUGAUCUGUUUUACUUCAGUUAUCAAUGGCACAAUUUACCCCAGUGUAUUCUCUCUAAUGGCACAAUUUACCCCAGUGUAUUCUCUCUAAUGGCACAAUUUACCCCAGUGUAUUCUCUCUAAUGGCACAAUUUACCCCAGUGUAUUCUCUCUAAUGGCACAAUUUACCCCGCAGUGGGGGCAAGUUGUGCCACAAGACCACUUUUUUUUCUAAAGCUAUAUUUCUCAACAGUUUAUUUAAGAUCCAGAGUGAUUGUCCCCAGAGACGCUCAACAUCCUAAACUAUAUGUACAUGUUUGAGUUGGAGGCGUUACUGUCAUCCCCUACUUACCUCACUCUCCCCUCCGGACUGCAGACAUGUUUUAAAUGAUAUUAUUUGUUUGUUUGUUUUUCAUCAUCUAUGUUGAAAAGAAAUAAAAUGGUGGAGAACCUUCCUGAACUUCAGCUGCAUCGGUCUGAGUCUGGACGGAAGAGAGCAAGAGACAAAAGAGGAGUUCAGGCGGAAGGAGGCGGAUCACAGUCCUGAUCUCCUGCUCGUUUACUCUUGGAUGAGAAGACGUGGUCAUGUAUGGGACACCAGUGGACAUGCGGUUCUUAAUUAUUAUGAGAGGGUGCCCCAGGUGUCAGACCAGGUGUGGCCCCUCCCAUCCCGCAGCAGCUGGACAGCAGAAACAUCCACUUCCUGUGAGCGCUGAGUGACAUCAUUGAGAUCCGCAGAGAGAGAGAGAGAGAGAGAUGCCUCAACAACAGCUCCACCUGCUG